This 120-nucleotide ribosomal RNA is filed under the name Thermothelomyces thermophilus ATCC 42464. Lineage: Eukaryota; Fungi; Ascomycota; Sordariomycetes; Sordariales; Chaetomiaceae. The record is from RNAcentral.
ACAUACGACCAUAUCCACAAGACAAUUCGGGAUCCCGUCCGCUCUCCCCUAGACAAGCUUGUGAGAGCCAGAUUAGUAGUUAGGUCGGUGACGACUAGCGAAUCCCUGGUGUUGUAUGUU